GCCCUGGUGGUCUAAAGGUUAAGAUUCGGCGCUCUCAAUGCCGAGACCCAGGUUUGUUUCCCUGUCAGGGAA
RNAcentral lists this transfer RNA (72 nucleotides) under Equus caballus (horse). It matches the Rfam family "tRNA". From Rfam's summary of the family: Transfer RNA (tRNA) molecules are approximately 80 nucleotides in length. Lineage: Eukaryota; Metazoa; Chordata; Mammalia; Perissodactyla; Equidae. The record is from Rfam by way of RNAcentral.